This 497-nucleotide ribosomal RNA is filed under the name uncultured bacterium. RNAcentral's name for it is "partial 16S ribosomal RNA". It matches the Rfam family "Bacterial small subunit ribosomal RNA", at positions 28 to 507 of the family's 1533-position model. The record is from RNAcentral.
GAUGAACGCUGGCGGCGUGCCUAAUACAUGCAAGUCGAGCGAACGGACGAGAAGCUUGCUUCUCUGAUGUUAGCGGCGGACGGGUGAGUAACACGUGGAUAACCUACCUAUAAGACUGGGAUAACUUCGGGAAACCGUAGCUAAUACCGGAUAAUAUUUUGAACCGCAUGGUUCAAAAGUGAAGGACGGUCUUGCUGUCACUUAUAGAUGGAUCCGCGCUGCAUUUGCUAGUUGGUAAGGUAACGGCUUACCAAGGCAACGAUGCAUAGCCGACCUGAGAGGGUGAUCGGCCACACUGGAACUGAGACACGGUCCAGACUCCUACGGGAGGCAGCAGUAGGGAAUCUUCCGCAAUGGGCGAAAGCCUGACGGAGCAACGCCGCGUGAGUGAUGAAGGUCUUCGGAUCGUAAAACUCUGUUAUUAGGGAAGAACAUAUGUGUAAGUAACUGUGCACAUCUUGACGGUACCUAAUCAGAAAGCCACGGCUAACUACGUG